AGGGAGUGCAGGGCAGGGUUUCC
Molecule: microRNA, 23 nt
Filed under: Oryctolagus cuniculus (rabbit)
Lineage: Eukaryota; Metazoa; Chordata; Mammalia; Lagomorpha; Leporidae
Description: ocu-miR-504-3p
Gene: ocu-miR-504-3p
Source: miRBase by way of RNAcentral